This 87-nucleotide transfer RNA is filed under the name Oleiphilaceae bacterium. RNAcentral's name for it is "tRNA-Leu". It matches the Rfam family "tRNA". Rfam says of the family: Transfer RNA (tRNA) molecules are approximately 80 nucleotides in length. Their secondary structure includes four short double-helical elements and three loops (D, anti-codon, and T loops). The record is from RNAcentral. Lineage: Bacteria; Pseudomonadati; Pseudomonadota; Gammaproteobacteria; Oceanospirillales; Oleiphilaceae.
GCUCCGGUGGUGGAAUCGGUAGACACUACAGACUUAAAAUCUGUUGCCCGUCAGGGCGUGCCGGUUCAAGUCCGGCCCGGAGCACCA